CUCUCUGUGCCUUUGGUGUGACCAUCUUGUGCCCCAGAGCUCUUUGGCUUCAGUGAAAUGUCGACAAUCCUGAAAUGGUUUGGACGGGAAGACAAGGAGAGAGAAGAGAAGGAAAAGGACAAGAAAGAGGAGAAGGAAGAAAAGGAGAAGGAAAAGGCUGAGGGAGAAAAAGAGGACAAGCAGAAGAGAAAGGAGGAGGAAGAAGAGGAAAAGCAGUGACAAAGAUGAUGAGCAGGAAGACAAGG
Molecule: long non-coding RNA, 245 nt
Organism: Myiozetetes cayanensis
Lineage: Eukaryota; Metazoa; Chordata; Aves; Passeriformes; Tyrannidae
Exons: 3
Source: RefSeq, a predicted model, not a curated record